Molecule: ribosomal RNA, 473 nt
Filed under: Loxosceles sp. 3 GJB-2008
Lineage: Eukaryota; Metazoa; Arthropoda; Arachnida; Araneae; Sicariidae
Description: partial 16S ribosomal RNA
Rfam family: Bacterial large subunit ribosomal RNA
Source: RNAcentral
GCCGCAGUCCCCUGUGCUAAGGUAGCAUAAUAAUUUGCCCUUUAAUUCAGGGAUAGAAGAAAGGGAAACAUGAUUCAUUAACUUUUUUCCAUUAUUCAAUAUAAAAUUACUUUAAAAGUAAAAAAACUUUUAUAAAACAGAAGGACGACAAGACCCUAUAGAACUUUACAUUUAGUUAAAUGGGGCGGUAAAUAACUAAAACUUACUUCUAUUUAAAGAUAUAGACCUAAUAUUAUUAACAAUAAGAUCAAGUUACCUUAGGGAUAACAGCAUAAUUUUAUUCUUGAGAACAUAUCUAAAAUAAAGUUUAUGACCUCGAUGUUGAAUUAAUUUUACUUAUUAAGCAAAGUUAAUAAAAGUAGGUCUGUUCGACCUGUAAAAAAUUACAUGAUUUGAGUUCAGACCGGCGCAAGCCAGGUCAGAUUCUAUCCUCUAUUAUAUUAUUACAGUACGAAAGGACCUAAUAAAAAAUA